GGCUCUGCUUAAGACCGUCUGCUGGAAGGCACACCAUGCCCGCAGAUUUAUCCCAUUCAAUAUUUAAAAACUGGCUGGAACAAGGAGUUCAUGCACAGCAGAGACUACUGCUUCAACGCGGAGUUGCCCAGCCUGCCCAUUUGGCCCCACUUGUGUUUUAGGUGGAGCAAAUUUUGUUUCCCAUGGCAGCCCUGGCUUUGCAGUACCCUGGGGAGGCAGCUGACGGCAGGGUGCGAUGCUGGUGCUACAGCUGGAUCCUCACCACACCACCGAUAAAGUGGAUCAGUAUUUCCUAAUAGGAGAGCUGGCAGGGCAGGUGAAAGUACAGAAUAUACAGGUAGACUUCAAGAAAUCAGUCAACUCUUUCUUUUUGUUCUCUAAUUUGAUAGGAAAAGUGAAUAGCAAUUUGUUUUUUUCUUGUGGUUUUAAUUUUUUUUUUUAAUGCUUCAAACUGCAGGUCAAAGCCACUGCGCAAAGUCUACAGGAGCCCUUUAUUGACUCUCCUGAGUUCAUCCAGGCAGCUAAAGAAAAACUAUUUCCCCCUCCCUGCUGACCAUAAAAAGGGAUUAGCAGAAGGAGACUUUUCCUUAUCAGUCCUCCGGGGCCAGGAUUACAAGCAAGGAGAGUCUGCCUAUUUUAUUUGAAGACUAUAAGAAAUUAUUCAAGCUUCAAGCAACUCUGUGCGCAAUGCUUUCAGAAGAAAAAUCAGCAAAUUGAAAAUAUUAUUGUCUUCUAAAAGAAGGAUGUUACCAAAAAAUGUACAAGUAAAAAGGUAGAAGAGGAUGAAGAUACAGAGAAAAAACACUUUUUCUUGACAACAAAUCUAAUUUUGGUGUGGAGGAUGAAGAGUGUUUUUUCUUGUAUCUUACAAAAUGUGGGGUUUUGCAGUGGUACACUUUAACCCAUUAUGUCAAAACUGGAUAAAAAGCCAAAAAAUAUGGGACUCUUCAGGUUCAAUUUUUUGGAGCAUAUUGGAAGCCUUCCAUAUUUUAUGCUAAAGAGUUCAAACUGGAGACAAUUUGAGCUAUUUGUUUGUUAACCUAAUAACAUUUAAUUUUUAAGUAAAUUUGUGUACUUUCUCAAACUUUUUCAUGCUUGACUUUCCCCAUCCUCCAGUAAGCAACACGAUUCAGGCCAAGUGCAAAGAGCAAAUGGAAGUUCCCAGCAUCACCUCCAUGUCAGGUGCUGAGAGCUUCUUGUCUACGUGCUAGAAAAUGUCUCCUUCAAAUGGAACGGGAACGAUACAACUUGCUAAUAGAGAGUAUUGCUAAUAUAAUAUAUUGCUUUAUUAGUAUAUUUAUGGACUCCUUCUCAAAAAUAAUGUGUGGUUUGUUAUAAGCUAUUAUGAAAGAUAAUGCUUUGACCUGCUGACAACAUGAUGUAUUAAUCUUUAUCACUUUGGUAUGCUCUUAAGUGUCUCAUUCUUACUUUCUGUAGCAUGGGCUGUACAGAAUACAGAGUAGAAUGUAAUUGUACCAAAAUAGUUUCUUGUAUGAAACUUUCUGAACAUAAAAUCUUGAAACACAGUAUUAAAAUAAUUCUUGGAUAACAUUCAUACAUUUAAUCUUCGCGAUACUUGUUGCUUUGAAUAAUCUAACCAAAAUAAAUUAAAAUUGAAUUUGUUUGUUGUUGUUUUUG
Cygnus atratus (black swan) is the source of this 1638-nucleotide long non-coding RNA. RefSeq lists it as uncharacterized. Lineage: Eukaryota; Metazoa; Chordata; Aves; Anseriformes; Anatidae. The record is from RefSeq and is a predicted model, not a curated record. The transcript has 3 exons.